AUGCCGCCGCGCUUCUGGGCCGAAGCUCUUAGCACUUCCACAUACUUGCUCAACCGCCGGCCAUGUCACUCCACUGCGCCGCGGUCACCACACGAGAUGCUUUUAGGCGUGCCACCCGACUACUCCCUCCUUUGCGUCUUUGGUUGCCUCUGCUUCCCCAACCUCACCUCGACCUCGCGCCACAAACUUGAUCGCCGAUCCACUGCGUGCAUCUUCCUUGGGUACCCCCCAGACCACCGCGGCUACCGGUGUUUCGAUCCCGCCUCUCGCCGCGUUUUCACUUCCCGGCAUGUGAUUUUCCACGAGGACGUGUUCCCUUUCGCCUCGCCGCCGGACGCCGCGUCAGCACCUCCGCCUGCGGCUCGUCUUUCACCCACUGUUGUGCAGGUGCCAACUCCUCCCUGCGUUCGCGCGCUGCCCGUUGCUUCGGACACGGCGGACAUGCCCGUGCAGCGUUCAGGCUCGCCCGCCGGGGGCUCGGCGGUCCACUCCAGUGGCUCCCCGCCCAGCGCGCCGUCCUCAGCUUCACAUACGGGCCCUGGGUCGGCCAACGACGGCUCCACUACGGGCACCUCUUCGUCAGGCACCUCUUCAUCGAGCACGGACGUCUCCUGUCCGCCGGUCGUCGCGCCCCCACCGCCACCACCGACGCGUGCGGUCACCCGCGCCCAGCGUGGGAUAUUUCGGCCUAACCCGAAGUACUACGACGCCGCUGCUGCCACCACAACGGAGAUCUCGCCGGUGCCCAGCUCGGUUCGUGUGGCGGUGCGUGAUCCCAACUGGCUCGCCGCCAUGCGGGCUGAGCACGACGCACUUGUUCGCAACCGAACAUGGACGCUGGUGCCUCGGCCUCUUGGUGCCAACCUCAUCACCGGCAAGUGGCUCUUCAAGCACAAGAUGAACGCCGACGGCACGCUGGAGCGGUACAAGGCCAGGUGGGUCGUGCGCGGCUUCCGCCAGCGCGCCGGCAUCGACUACAGCGAGACGUUCUCUCCGGUCGUCAAGCCAGCAACGAUUCGCACGGUGCUCACCCUCGCUGCAUCUCGCGGCUGGCCGGUGCACCAACUUGACGUCUCCAACGCCUUCCUCCAUGGCACACUCGCCGAGGAGGUCUACUGCCUUCAACCUGCCGGCUUCGUCGACCCGCUCACCAUGUCUGCAGGCUCUCUAAGUCGCUGUACGGGCUGA
This 1188-nucleotide ribosomal RNA is filed under the name Triticum aestivum (bread wheat). RNAcentral describes it as "partial small subunit ribosomal RNA". Lineage: Eukaryota; Viridiplantae; Streptophyta; Magnoliopsida; Poales; Poaceae. The record is from RNAcentral.